Malus domestica (apple) is the source of this 414-nucleotide non-coding RNA. Lineage: Eukaryota; Viridiplantae; Streptophyta; Magnoliopsida; Rosales; Rosaceae. The record is from RefSeq and is a predicted model, not a curated record.
AGGGAAGGUCUUGCCUUGGCAUCUUCCAGAUGUCUUCACAAUAUAGUUAUUGAGAGUCAUUCGCUCUAGAUCACCCAAUCUCUCCGAUCUUCUUCGUCAGACCUUUCUCUUAUAAGUCUCAUCAUCAAACACUCUAGAGAGCUUUCCUUGGGGAUCAUUGGAGUUUGUUUUACCGAUAUAAGACAUCAAGCAAAUGAAGUUUCUCAUCGACUUGCUCGUUGCAAUCUUCGUCCAGCAGCCCUUCAUGUGGUCUGAGGAACCACCAGACUUCAUUUUAGAUAUUUACUUGCAUAUUGUAAUUCUUAACAAUGACUACUCCCUUUUUGUAAUCUUAUUUUUUCCUUACCAAUAUAUCUCUCUAUCGCCUUUGAUUCAAAAAAAUAAAAUAAAAUAAAAAACUCUUUACCAACUUCA